This is a non-coding RNA of Bos taurus (domestic cattle), 72 nucleotides long. NCBI's taxonomy places the organism in Eukaryota, Metazoa, Chordata, Mammalia, Artiodactyla, Bovidae. The record is from Rfam.
UCCCUGAUAGUUCAGCUGGUAAAGAAUCCGCCUGCAAUUCAGGAGACCCAGGUUCAAUCCCUGGUUUGGGAA